This 628-nucleotide unclassified non-coding RNA is filed under the name Hevea brasiliensis (rubber tree). The record is from RNAcentral. Lineage: Eukaryota; Viridiplantae; Streptophyta; Magnoliopsida; Malpighiales; Euphorbiaceae.
AAACAAUCGAAGCAAAUUCCACGGACAGAAAAUUAUAGAGAAAGGGGGUUUUUCGUGGAGAGCCCAAAAACCCAUUCUGGAAGCAAAGAAGCAGAAACAAUGGAAGAAGAACGUGCGAAACCAGUUUGCGCACAAGAGGCGCUGGAUCUGCUCAACUGCGUGGCUCAAUCGCCAUAUGAUCAAGAAAAAUGUGUCCGUCUCUUGCAAACUUUGAGAGAAUGUGUGCUCAAUAAGAAAGUGAAGAAGUUCUCUCUAGUUGAUCAGGAUCAGCCGGAAGGAAAACCAGUUGUGAAGGAAGCUUGAUAAGUAUUCUAUACUGCUAGGAAUUUUUUCUAAUCUUGAGGCCUGGUCUCAUGUUACCCUCUGUCAUGGGUACCUGUUGUUACUUGCAUGCUAUUAAAAAAACUAUUCUAAGUUGUAAAAGAAGCUAACCUCAUUUGCUUUGGAAUGGGAACUUAAUUGAAAGUUAUUCAAGAAGGCUGAGUUCUAACUUUUUGGAAUGAUCCAUAUGAAUUUUGAACUCUAUUUGGUUUGGUUUUCUUUUCUGUCUUGUGUAGGCGUGUGCAUUGUGUUAAAUAUUGAAACUUCCUUCCAGGGAAGAGAAGAGAAUACAUGAAUAUUCUUAAUA